RNAcentral lists this ribosomal RNA (468 nucleotides) under uncultured bacterium. Its description in RNAcentral is "partial 16S ribosomal RNA". It matches the Rfam family "Bacterial small subunit ribosomal RNA", at positions 28 to 507 of the family's 1533-position model. The record is from RNAcentral.
GACGAACGCUGGCGGCGUGCUUAACACAUGCAAGUCGAACGGAAAGGCCCUGCUUUUGUGGGGUGCUCGAGUGGCGAACGGGUGAGUAACACGUGAGUAACCUGCCCUUGACUUUGGGAUAACUUCAGGAAACUGGGGCUAAUACCGGCUAGGAGCUCCUGCUGCAUGGUGGGGGUUGGAAAGUUUCGGCGGUUGGGGAUGGACUCGCGGCCUAUCAGCUUGUUGGUGGGGUAGUGGCUUACCAAGGCUUUGACGGGUAGCCGGCCUGAGAGGGUGACCGGCCACAUUGGGACUGAGAUACGGCCCAGACUCCUACGGGAGGCAGCAGUGGGGAAUAUUGCACAAUGGGCGGAAGCCUGAUGCAGCAACGCCGCGUGCGGGAUGACGGCCUUCGGGUUGUAAACCGCUUUCGCCUGUGACGAAGCGUGAGUGACGGUAAUGGGUAAAGAAGCACCGGCUAACUACGUG